UACAGAGGCCUCGAGCGUUAGGCGGAAUCACUGGGCUUAAAGCGUGUGUAGGCGGGCCCGUAAGUGUCUUGUGAAAUCCCCCGGCUCAACCGGGGAACGGCUGGGCAUACUGCGGGUCUUGGGCCGACUAGGGGCAGCCGGAACAAGCGGUGGAGCGGUGAAAUGCGUAGAUAUCGCUUGGAACGCCGAAGGUGAAAACAGGCUGCUGGGGUCGCGCCGACGCUGAGACACGAAAGCCAGGGGAGCAAACGGG
This 253-nucleotide ribosomal RNA is filed under the name uncultured bacterium. RNAcentral's name for it is "partial 16S ribosomal RNA". It matches the Rfam family "Bacterial small subunit ribosomal RNA", at positions 524 to 776 of the family's 1533-position model. The record is from RNAcentral.